RNAcentral lists this transfer RNA (73 nucleotides) under bacterium. RNAcentral describes it as "tRNA-Lys". It matches the Rfam family "tRNA". Rfam says of the family: Transfer RNA (tRNA) molecules are approximately 80 nucleotides in length. Their secondary structure includes four short double-helical elements and three loops (D, anti-codon, and T loops). The record is from RNAcentral.
GCGCCCAUAGCUCAGUUGGUAGAGCAGCUCCCUUUUAAGGAGAUGGUCGCAGGUUCGAAUCCUGCUGGGCGCA